RNAcentral lists this ribosomal RNA (231 nucleotides) under uncultured bacterium. Its description in RNAcentral is "partial 16S ribosomal RNA". It matches the Rfam family "Bacterial small subunit ribosomal RNA", at positions 103 to 334 of the family's 1533-position model. The record is from RNAcentral.
CGGGUGAGUAACACGUAUCCAACCUGCCGUCUACUCUUGGACAGCCUUCUGAAAGGAAGAUUAAUACAAGAUGGCAUCAUGAGUUCACAUGUUCACAUGAUUAAAGGUAUUCCGGCAGACGAUGGGGAUGCGUUCCAUUAGAUAGUAGGCGGGGUAACGGCCCACCUAGUCUUCGAUGGAUAGGGGUUCUGAGAGGAAGGUCCCCCACAUUGGAACUGAGACACGGUCCAA